This 465-nucleotide ribosomal RNA is filed under the name uncultured bacterium. RNAcentral's name for it is "partial 16S ribosomal RNA". It matches the Rfam family "Bacterial small subunit ribosomal RNA", at positions 339 to 795 of the family's 1533-position model. The record is from RNAcentral.
CUACGGGUGGCAGCAGUGGGGAAUAUUGGACAAUGGGGGAAACCCUGAUCCAGCAAUGCCGCGUGUGUGAAGAAGGCCUGCGGGUUGUAAAGCACUUUCGGUUGGGAGGACUGCUUCUAGCACUAAUAUUGUUGGAAGUUGACGUUACCUUCAGAAGAAGCACCGGCUAACUCCGUGCCAGCAGCCGCGGUAAUACGGGGGGUGCAAGCGUUAAUGGGAAUUACUGGGCGUAAAGCGCGCGUAGGCGGCUAGAUCAGUCGGGUGUGAAAGCCCCGGGCGUAACCAGGGAACUGCAUCCGAUACUGUCUAGCUUGAGUACAGGAGAGGAGAGGGGAAUUCCACAUGUAGCGGUGAAAUGCGUAGAUAUGUGGAGGAACACCAAUGGCGAAGGCAGCUCUCUGGCCUGAUACUGACGCUGAGGUGCGAAAGCGUGGGGAGCAAACAGGAUUAGAUACCCGUGUAGUC